This 650-nucleotide ribosomal RNA is filed under the name uncultured bacterium. RNAcentral's name for it is "bacterial SSU rRNA". It matches the Rfam family "Bacterial small subunit ribosomal RNA", at positions 45 to 741 of the family's 1533-position model. The record is from RNAcentral.
GGCCUAACACAUGCAAGUCGAGCGCGCCUUUCGGGGUGAGCGGCGGACGGGUUAGUAACGCGUGGGAAUAUGCCCUUUGGUACGGAAUAGCCUCUGGAAACGGAGAGUAAUACCGUAUGAGCCCUUCGGGGGAAAGAUUUAUCGCCAAAGGAUUAGCCCGCGUUAGAUUAGGUAGUUGGUGGGGUAAUGGCCUACCAAGCCUACGAUCUAUAGCUGGUUUUAGAGGAUGAUCAGCAACACUGGGACUGAGACACGGCCCAGACUCCUACGGGAGGCAGCAGUGGGGAAUCUUGGACAAUGGGGGCAACCCUGAUCCAGCCAUGCCGCGUGAGUGAUGAAGGCCUUAGGGUCGUAAAGCUCUUUCGCCUGUGAAGAUAAUGACGGUAGCAGGUAAAGAAACCCCGGCUAACUCCGUGCCAGCAGCCGCGGUAAUACGGAGGGGGUUAGCGUUGUUCGGAAUUACUGGGCGUAAAGCGCACGUAGGCGGACCAGAAAGUUGGGGGUGAAAUCCCGGGGCUCAACCCCGGAACUGCCUCCAAAACUAUUGGUCUAGAGUUCGAGAGAGGUGAGUGGAAUUCCAAGUGUAGAGGUGAAAUUCGUAGAUAUUUGGAGGAACACCAGUGGCGAAGGCGGCUCACUGGCUCGAUACU